UCAUAUGCUUUCCUAGACUUGUUUCUUGAAGGGCUCCAGCCUGAGAUGAAUAAUCCAAUUAGGAGACUGGCAAAUGAAUAUUUGUACAACCAGUGGAUCUUCUUCUAUCUGUCUGACACAAUUGGAGAAACUGGUUGUUUUACUAAGACUUUGACUGGAAGGGUGUGCUUGCCUUUAAGGAAUCAAGCUUGACUUGCAAAGCCAAUAAAAGCCACGUGGGAAAACUGGCUUCAUAUCUUGUCUACACUGUCCCUGUAUAGGGUUCCUAACCUGUGAUUGUGAAGACAGAAGAAGUCAACCUGAAAACAAACCACAGUUUGGAAUCAAGCCAAGGAUCAUCGGAAAGUACAGAAAAUCUGACCAUUCCUAAGAAGAAGAGUUGGAUUUACUCUCCUUAGGAUUUAAGGCCAAGUUCAAUAAAUAUGUUCACAUUGGGUUUAUGAUAAGGAAAAAGAAAGAAGCCUAAUCAAAUUGUCCCACUUGCAGUGCUGAACGAGUGUCCAUGUCCGCCUUUCAUGGUGGCAAGGAUCAUCGGAAAGUACAGAAAAUCUGACCAUUCCUAAGAAGAAGAGUUGGAUUUACUCUCCUUAGGAUUUAAGGCCAAGUUCAAUAAAUAUAUUUCUGUUCCAUAAAGUUGCCUUCAGCACUGAACAAGCCAAUGCUGAAUAAGGGGUCCUAGGCAAAUCUGAGGUAUUGUAUCACAAAUAAUGGAUUCACCAAUGAAGAACAUGUUCAAAGGUUUCAAGAUGCAGCCUCCUUCUUUAUGCAUCUUCCUCCACUUAAUCUCUAUUCCACCUCUGGGCCAUCACUUUGAAAUAUACAGUAUCUAGCAAAAAGGCCUCAAGAGAAGAUAUGAUUCCUCAACAUAUUUUAUGGGUGAAUCUACAGGAGGAAGAAAUAAAAUUUUUUAAAAGCUCAAGAUUUAAUGAAAAUGGGAACAAAUCAUAGUGGAAUGCAGUUUCAGGUAUGAGCUACAAGCACAUUAAGAGACAUUGAAGUUGAGUGUGCUUUAUAUUCCUAAUGUCUUGAGCACACUGUGAUUUAAAAUAGCUAUUAAAGAUUAUGCAAAAUGUGCAAAAUUAA
Macaca mulatta (Rhesus monkey) is the source of this 1083-nucleotide non-coding RNA. NCBI's taxonomy places the organism in Eukaryota, Metazoa, Chordata, Mammalia, Primates, Cercopithecidae. The record is from RefSeq and is a predicted model, not a curated record.